Molecule: transfer RNA, 78 nt
Filed under: Staphylococcus sp.
Lineage: Bacteria; Bacillati; Bacillota; Bacilli; Caryophanales; Staphylococcaceae
Also listed under: 32 other names
Description: tRNA-Val
Rfam family: tRNA
About the family: Transfer RNA (tRNA) molecules are approximately 80 nucleotides in length. Their secondary structure includes four short double-helical elements and three loops (D, anti-codon, and T loops).
Source: RNAcentral
GGGCGCUUAGCUCAGCUGGUUCAGAGCGUCUGCCUUACAAGCAGAGGGUCGGGGGUUCGAAUCCCUCAGCGCCCACCA